RNAcentral lists this ribosomal RNA (330 nucleotides) under uncultured Lachnospiraceae bacterium. RNAcentral's name for it is "partial 16S ribosomal RNA". The record is from RNAcentral. Lineage: Bacteria; Bacillati; Bacillota; Clostridia; Lachnospirales; Lachnospiraceae.
GGAGUCUGGGCCGUGUCUCAGUCCCAAUGUGGCCGGUCAACCUCUCAGUUCGGCUACUGAUCGUCGCCUUGGUGGGCCGUUACCCCGCCAACAAGCUAAUCAGACGCGGGUCCAUCUUACACCGAUAAAAUCUUUUCCGUCCAGGCCAUGCGGCCCUAGCGGGUUAUGCGGUAUUAGCAGAAAUUUCUCUCUGUUGUCCCCCCUGUGUAAGGCAGGUUACCCACGCGUUACUCACCCGUCCGCCACUCGGAAAAGCAAAAUCCAUCCGAAAACUUCAUUCGCAAUUCCUCGUUCGACUUGCAUGUGUUAAGCACGCCGCCAGCGUUCAUC